This 441-nucleotide ribosomal RNA is filed under the name Ptychotrema pollonerae. RNAcentral's name for it is "partial 16S ribosomal RNA". It matches the Rfam family "Archaeal large subunit ribosomal RNA", at positions 1909 to 2665 of the family's 2987-position model. Lineage: Eukaryota; Metazoa; Mollusca; Gastropoda; Stylommatophora; Streptaxidae. The record is from RNAcentral.
AGCCUUACGGUAUUUAUGUAAGGUAGCUUCUGCUCACUGAAAUUUUAUAAAAAAAUUAAAGAGCCGCAGUACUUUGACUGUGCUAAGGUAGCAUAAUAAAUUGUCUUUUAAUUAAAGAAUAGAAUAAAAGAAGGUUUGGCGGGGGACUUUUUUUUUAGUUAUCUUAAUAAUUUACUUAUAAGGUGAAAAUUCCUUAAUUUUUUAGAGGGACGAGAAGACCCUUAGAGUUUUAAUAAAAAUCAUUUAUAUUUAAUGCUUUUUUUUUAUUGGGGCGAUAAGUAUUCAUUAAAACAGCACUAUAAUUUACAAGUCUUAAUAAGAAAGAAUAAACUACCUUAGGGAUAACAGCAUAAUUUUUUUAAAGAUUGUGACCUCGAUGUUGGACUAGGGACUUUAUAAUUAACAAUUAAAUAGAUUUGUUCUGUUCGAACUUUUAACCCU